CCAAUAGCGUAUAUUAAAGUUGUUGCAGUUAAAAAGCUCGUAGUUGAAUUUCGGGACCAAUCUGCCGGUCGUGCCUCCGGUACGCACUGGUUUUAUUGGUUUCUCCCUUCUGACGAACCAUGAUGUCAUUAAUUUGGUGUCAUGGGGAAUCAGGACUGUUACUUUGAAAAAAUUAGAGUGUUUAUAGCAGGCUCACGCUUGAAUACAUUAGCAUGGAAUAAUGAAAUAGGACGUUUGACCCUAUUUUGUUGGUUUCUAGGAUCGACGUAAUGAUUAAUAGGGAUAGUUGGGGGCAUUAGUAUUCAAUUGUCAGAGGUGAAAUUCUUGGAUUUAUUGAAGACUAACUACUGCGAAAGCAUUUGCCAAGGAUGUUUUCAUUAAUCAAGAACGAAAGUUAGGGGAUCGAAGACGAUCAGAUACCGUCGUAGUCUUAACCAUAAACUAUGCCGACUAGAGAUCGGAUGAUGUUAAUUUUUUAAUGACUCAUUCGGCGCCUUACG
RNAcentral lists this unclassified non-coding RNA (500 nucleotides) under uncultured Glomus. Its description in RNAcentral is "SSU rRNA". It matches the Rfam family "Eukaryotic small subunit ribosomal RNA", at positions 591 to 1092 of the family's 1831-position model. Lineage: Eukaryota; Fungi; Glomeromycota; Glomeromycetes; Glomerales; Glomeraceae. The record is from RNAcentral.